This 667-nucleotide ribosomal RNA is filed under the name uncultured Actinomycetes bacterium. Its description in RNAcentral is "bacterial SSU rRNA". It matches the Rfam family "Bacterial small subunit ribosomal RNA", at positions 8 to 676 of the family's 1533-position model. Lineage: Bacteria; Bacillati; Actinomycetota; Actinomycetes. The record is from RNAcentral.
AGAGUUUGAUCCUGGCUCAGGACGAACGCUGGCGGCGUGCCUAACACAUGCAAGUCGAGCGAUCGGCUCGGGAGGGGUAACCCACCCGAGUACGGAGCGGCGAACGGGUGAGUAACACGUGGGCAACCUGCCCCAGGCUCUGGAACAACCCCGGGAAACCGGGGCUGAUGCCGGAUACUCUCGUGGCCUCGCAUGGGGCCUCGAGGAAAGCUCCGACGGCCUGGGAUGGGCCCGCGGCCUAUCAGCUAGUUGGUGGGGUAACGGCCCACCAAGGCGACGACGGGUAGCUGGCGUGAGAGCGUGGCCAGCCACACUGGGACUGAGACACGGCCCAGACUCCUACGGGAGGCAGCAGUGGGGAAUCUUGCACAAUGGGCGAAAGCCUGAUGCAGCGACGCCGCGUGGGGGAUGAAGGCCCUCGGGUUGUAAACCCCUUUCGGCAGGGAAGAAGCCGCAAGGUGACGGUACCUGCAGAAGAAGCCCCGGCCAACUACGUGCCAGCAGCCGCGGUAAGACGUAGGGGGCGAGCGUUGUCCGGAUUCACUGGGCGUAAAGAGCGCGUAGGCGGCUCGUUAAGUCGGAUGUGAAAAACCCGGGGCUCAACCCCGGGCCUGCACCCGAUACUGGCGGGCUGGAGGCAGGUAGGGGAGAGUGGAAUUCCCGGUGU